This is a small nuclear RNA of Gopherus agassizii (Agassiz's desert tortoise), 145 nucleotides long. Its record names the gene U2. It matches the Rfam family "U2 spliceosomal RNA". Rfam says of the family: U2 is a small nuclear RNA (snRNA) component of the spliceosome (involved in pre-mRNA splicing). Complementary binding between U2 snRNA (in an area lying towards the 5' end but 3' to hairpin I) and the branchpoint sequence (BPS) of the intron results the bulging out of an unpaired adenosine, on the BPS, which initiates a nucleophilic attack at the intronic 5' splice site, thus starting the first of two transesterification reactions that mediate splicing. The record is from Ensembl. Lineage: Eukaryota; Metazoa; Chordata; Testudines; Testudinidae.
AUCUGUUCUUAUCAGUUUAAUAUCUGAUAUGUCCUUUAUUUGAGGACUAUAUAUUAAAUUGAUUUUUGAAACGGGGCUGGAAUAGGAGCUUGCUCUGUCCACCACAUGCAUUGAUCUGGUAUUGCAGCACCUCCAGGACCAGUGC